This 497-nucleotide ribosomal RNA is filed under the name uncultured bacterium. RNAcentral describes it as "partial 16S ribosomal RNA". It matches the Rfam family "Bacterial small subunit ribosomal RNA", at positions 28 to 507 of the family's 1533-position model. The record is from RNAcentral.
GAUGAACGCUGGCGGCGUGCCUAAUACAUGCAAGUCGAGCGGACGGACGAGAAGCUUGCUUCUCUGAUGUUAGCGGCGGACGGGUGAGUAACACGUGGAUAACCUACCUAUAAGACUGGGAUAACUUCGGGAAACCGUAGCUAAUACCGGAUAAUAUUUUGAACUGCAUGGUUCAAAAGUGAAAGACGGUCUUGCUGUCACUUAUAGAUGGAUCCGCGCUGCAUUAGCUAGUUGGUAAGGUAACGGCUUACCAAGGCAACGAUGCAUAGCCGACCUGAGAGGGUGAUCGGCCACACUGGAACUGAGACACGGUCCAGACUCCUACGGGAGGCAGCAGUAGGGAAUCUUCCGCAAUGGGCGAAAGCCUGACGGAGCAACGCCGCGUGAGUGAUGAAGGUCUUCGGAUCGUAAAACUCUGUUAUUAGGGAAGAACAUAUGUGUAAGUAACUGUGCACAUCUUGACGGUACCUAAUCAGAAAGCCACGGCUAACUACGUG